This 256-nucleotide ribosomal RNA is filed under the name uncultured bacterium. Its description in RNAcentral is "partial 16S ribosomal RNA". It matches the Rfam family "Bacterial small subunit ribosomal RNA", at positions 524 to 776 of the family's 1533-position model. The record is from RNAcentral.
UACGUAGGGUGCGAGCGUUUAAUCGGAAUUACUGGGCGUAAAGCGUGCGCAGGCGGUGAUGUAAGACAGGUGUGAAAUCCCCGGGCUUAACCUGGGAACUGCAUUUGUGACUGCAAGGCUGGAGUUUGGCAGAGGAGACUGGAAUUCCUGGUGUAGCAGUGAAAUGCGUAGAUAUCAGGAGGAAUACCGAUGGCGAACGGCAGCCCCCCUGGGCUAACACUGACGCUCAGGCACGAAAGCGUGGGGAGCGAACAGG